Molecule: ribosomal RNA, 496 nt
Filed under: uncultured bacterium
Lineage: Bacteria
Description: partial 16S ribosomal RNA
Rfam family: Bacterial small subunit ribosomal RNA
Source: RNAcentral
AUGAACGCUGGCGGCGUGCCUAAUACAUGCAAGUCGAGCGAACAGAUGAGGAGCUUGCUCCUCUGACGUUAGCGGCGGACGGGUGAGUAACACGUGGAUAACCUACCUAUAAGACUGGGAUAACUUCGGGAAACCGGAGCUAAUACCGGAUAAUAUAUUGAACCGCAUGGUUCAAUAGUGAAAGACGGUUUUGCUGUCACUUAUAGAUGGAUCCGCGCCGCAUUAGCUAGUUGGUAAGGUAACGGCUUACCAAGGCAACGAUGCGUAGCCGACCUGAGAGGGUGAUCGGCCACACUGGAACUGAGACACGGUCCAGACUCCUACGGGAGGCAGCAGUAGGAAAUCUUCCGCAAUGGGCGAAAGCCUGACGGAGCAACGCCGCGUGAGUGAUGAAGGUCUUCGGAUCGUAAAACUCUGUUAUUAGGGAAGAACAAAUGUGUAAGUAACUAUGCACGUCUUGACGGUACCUAAUCAGAAAGCCACGGCUAACUACGUG